CAUAUACAACUGUUGUACAUAGUUAGUCCAAUACGUAGACUUCAAUAUUUGUCGUAUAAAUUCAUUCAAAUCUUUAAAAAUCUGGAAAUCCAAGGUUUGACAAAACAACACUAAAAUUUUAGAAUAUAGAAAUCUAGCACCAAUUCUUGUAUAUUGAAACCGGCAUCGAAACCAUUGAAAGAAAAUGCACUUUUCUGGGUAGAAUUUCAGAAUUAACACCUGUACUAUAAUAGCUCGAAAAUUGGUUUUAAAACAAUGAAGAAUUCCAAUCUCAAAUCCUUAAUUUGAGUGUUUAGUAUCAUAUAAUCUCAAGAAACUCUACGAAUAUAUCUUUUAUCUCACAACCCAUUUCCAAAAUUCUACUUUUUCCAACUCCAAUUUUCAAAUAAACAUUUCCUUGCUAUAUUCUUAUUUAAAACCUUGAAUACACAUCAAUGACACCUAAUUCUUGCUAACUUCAAAGUUCUAGAGAUAAGUUCCAUAUACCUUAAAGGAGAUAAUUUCACAUUCUUAUACUUACCUCUCUAAAUUAAAGGGAGAAAAUGAGAAAUUGGGAACCUAACCUUAUAAAAUUGGAACCUAUCCCUUCCUUCCUUCCUUUUUUUUUUCUCUUCCAUUUCUUCUUUUUCCUUACAUCAUUUCGUUCUUUGCUUCUCCAUUCAGUUUUUCUA
RNAcentral lists this long non-coding RNA (671 nucleotides) under Olea europaea subsp. europaea. The record is from RNAcentral. Lineage: Eukaryota; Viridiplantae; Streptophyta; Magnoliopsida; Lamiales; Oleaceae.